GACGAACGCUGGCGGCGUGCCUAAUACAUGCAAGUCGAACGCAGUGGGGACGGGUGAGUAACACGUGGGUAACCUCCCAUCAGAGGGGAUAACACUUGGAAACAGGUGCUAAACCGAUACUGAUGGAUGGACCCGCGGUGCAUUAGCUAGUUGGUGAGGUAACGGCUUACCAAGGCCACGAUGCAUAGCCGACCUGGGAGGGUGAUCGGCCCCCCUGGGACUGAGGCACGGCCCCGACUCCGACGGGAGGCAGCAGUAGCAAAUCUUCGCCAAUGGCCGAAAGUCUGCCCGAGCGACGCCGCGUAAGUGAAGAAGGUUUUCGGAUCGUAAAGCUCUGUUGUUAGAGAAGCGGUAUCUAACCAGAAAGCCACGGCUAACUACGUGCCAGCAGCCGCGGUAAUAC
Molecule: ribosomal RNA, 403 nt
Filed under: uncultured bacterium
Lineage: Bacteria
Description: partial 16S ribosomal RNA
Rfam family: Bacterial small subunit ribosomal RNA
Source: RNAcentral